UUUUUCACAAAAGCUUCAAACAAACGGGGUGACUGAUCUCAGAAACGAUUUAAUGCAUUUAAAAAUGGCUACAGCUACCGUCAGCAUGCUUGCUAGGUAGAGUACGGUAACGACUACACGUGGCUAGUGCAGCAUUAGCCAUUUAAUCCAACGAUGAUCAUUAAAUCUAUUAUAAACAUUUAAGGACUUGUGUGUUGUAAAAGAGCCUCACAUGGUGUGUAAAGCAGUUUUUGCGCUAACAGUUCUGCUAGCUCUUUACAAACCUAUGAUGCUAACGUUAAUUGCUAACGUUAACCUGAGCGCUAAGCUUCAAGCUGCUGACGAACUCCGUCAAGACAUGCAGGUAACCUUUUUUUUUUUUUGUAAAUGUGAUCUACUGGAAACAAACGUUAAAGAGGGGACACACUUGUCUUAUUAUCAGCAUCAAUGUCCACGUGAAGAACCUAGUUAUGUUGCCAGUGUCAACCCAACAAAAGGCACUUUCACAAUAUAUAAAAGAAGUGUAUGGAACUGAGGUGCUUCGUCAGGAGCUGCUUCAGUUGUUGGAGGAUGGAGAAGAGGACGCAGCCAUGACUUGUGAGACGGCGUCUGAGUCAGCUGCUACUCACUAGGAGAUCAGAAACAUGGUGUCCUUGCAAAAGUGGAAAGAGGCCAGGCCUUGUCUUAUAGACAAUAUGUUAGCUACUCUGGAUCCACUGUCACACCGUGUGUGUCAGUGUGGCAAACAAGUAGUUGUGAGGUGUCUGGACUGCCUGCCUCUUCCAUUCCUUUGUGCUGAGUGUGAUAUUGCAGUUCACACACGCUUUGUCCUGCACAACAGAGAGGCAGUAACAGGAGGGUUUUUGCAGCCUUCAUCAGAGUUUCACAAGCCAAUAGUUCGGCUGUUGCCUGUGCAAAGGCCAGACCAUGUGUGUGACUGCCCAGCAGGUAACUUUGAGGUUUCACCCGGCGCAGUUGUGGCUCUUGUAACCAUAAAUGGCUGUUAUAACCUUGCACUGCCAGUGGUGAGCUGCACCAGCUGUGACCUAAUGUGGUCCCC
Oreochromis aureus is the source of this 1039-nucleotide long non-coding RNA. RefSeq lists it as uncharacterized. The transcript has 5 exons. NCBI's taxonomy places the organism in Eukaryota, Metazoa, Chordata, Actinopteri, Cichliformes, Cichlidae. The record is from RefSeq and is a predicted model, not a curated record.